Molecule: non-coding RNA, 26 nt
Filed under: Mus musculus (house mouse)
Lineage: Eukaryota; Metazoa; Chordata; Mammalia; Rodentia; Muridae
Source: RNAcentral
UUAUGGUUUGAAAACGGUUGUGGUGU